GUAGGCACCAAGCGUUGUCCGGAUUUAUUGGGCGUAAAGAGCUCGUAGGCGGUUCGGUAAGUCGGGUGUGAAAACUCUGGGCUCAACCCAGAGACGCCACCCGAUACUGCUGUGACUAGAGUGCGGUAGGGGAGCGGGGAAUUCCUGGUGUAGCGGUGAAAUGCGCAGAUAUCAGGAGGAACACCAGUGGCGAAGGCGCCGCUCUGGGCCGUGACUGACGCUGAGGAGCGAAAGCGUGGGUAGCAAACAGGAUUAGAUACCCUGGUAGUCCACGCCGUAAACGUUGGGCACUAGGUGUGGGUCUCAACCAACGAGAUCCGCGCCGUCGCAAACGCAUUAAGUGCCCCGCCUGGGGAGUACGGUCGCAAGACUAAA
This 375-nucleotide ribosomal RNA is filed under the name uncultured bacterium. Its description in RNAcentral is "bacterial SSU rRNA". It matches the Rfam family "Bacterial small subunit ribosomal RNA", at positions 527 to 898 of the family's 1533-position model. The record is from RNAcentral.